AUAAAUGCGAAGAUAGGAAGUAGUAAAGAAUUAACACUUUUAGAGAGGGAAAUCUUGAGCUGGAAAUUUCCUAAGUAUGUUAAUCUUGAAGUCGUCCUUGAUGCAGUUUCUCUGAAUAAUUAGUAAGAGAGAUCGGUGUAUUGACCGUUAUCCAAACAUGAGUGUACAAACAAUUCUUUGUUUGUAAACAAAGGUGGUACCACGGAAAUUAUACCCUUUUCGUCCUUUUU
Molecule: non-coding RNA, 230 nt
Filed under: Oceanobacillus iheyensis
Lineage: Bacteria; Bacillati; Bacillota; Bacilli; Caryophanales; Bacillaceae
Description: T-box sequence
Rfam family: T-box leader
About the family: Uncharged tRNA acts as the effector for transcription antitermination of genes in the T-box leader family. T-boxes are found upstream of many aminoacyl-tRNA synthetase genes and some amino acid biosynthetic genes usually in Gram-positive bacteria. The anticodon of a specific tRNA base pairs to a specifier sequence within the T-box motif, and the NCCA acceptor tail of the tRNA base pairs to a conserved bulge in the T-box antiterminator hairpin.
Source: RNAcentral